GGUUGGAUUGUUUAGUGUAGAACACCAGCAUGGUAUGCUGGAGACCCAGGUUCAAAUCCCCGUCCAAUCG
Non-coding RNA from Scenedesmus sp. NREL 46B-D3, 70 nucleotides. The record is from the annotation of a GenBank genome assembly. Lineage: Eukaryota; Viridiplantae; Chlorophyta; Chlorophyceae; Sphaeropleales; Scenedesmaceae.